UUCUAUAUGCUGCCAAGAGGACCGGGCGUCUCUUCGGAGACAUCCGAUAAAAUUGGAACGAUACAGAGAAGAUUAGCAUGGCCCCUGCGCAAGGAUGACACGCAUAAAUCGAGAAAUGGUCCAAAUUUUUUUUUUGAUCUUCGCAAGAGCUGUUUAAUCUCUUAUUUUUUAACCUCUUUUUCUUUCAAUCCAUCGUUCUAGGGUUUUCUUCUUCGAUUUGGGGUAGUUUUAUCUUCUCUUUUGCAAAACCCUCAGCGAUUUCCAGGAGUUCUCUUAGGGCUCGGUUGGGGUUUUCUUCUUCGAUUCAGGGUAGUUUUCCUUCUCUUUUGCACCAAAUCGCACCUGAUCCAUCGUUCGAGGGUUUGCUUCUUCGAUUUGGGGUUGUUUUUCUUCUCUUCUGCAAAACCCUCAGCGAUUUCCAGGAGUUCUCUCAAGACUCGUUUGGGAUGAUGUAACAACUCUGUUGUAUUUAUGAGUUUGAUGUGGUUUAUUGCUUGCUUGGUUCGUCUGCCUUUAGUGCUUGAUGCAGAUGAAUUUUGUACUCCCUUGUCUUGGACAAACAGUGGGUGGAAUUGUUUUAGGUGGUCUCUUGAGGUUUCUGAGAACAGUGGUAUGUCGUGUAUUGCGGGCCUUAUUACUUAAAUUGAGAUUUUACUAUCUACCUAUGAAAUUCUAGACCAUUACAAAAAAAAGUUAGCAUAUCUAUUUGCUGCUCAACAUGUUAACGUCAUAAGUUUCAGUAGAUGUUUGCCCAUCAAUCUUGAUAUCAAACUCUGCAUUGUAUACUCUUGUAUGCUUGGAAUUUGUGAUUUCCAACCUUGGAGUCAUGCCCUCCAAAUAUGAACUUUAUAAUGUGUUUGCUCCUUAUGGUUCAUCAAUAGUACUAUUUCUUGCUAUAAGUGACCUAAUAAGCCUCUUUCUUGGUAUGGUACUAGUAGCAAUAAUGUUAUGGGAUGAUGUUAUAUUUGUGGCAUCUAUCACAGUGGUUUCCCCAAACAUUUGGGUAUAUUGUCAUGAUUAGUUCUCAUUUGAUAUUUUGUCUUAUUAAGCAAUUUAUUCCAAGGUUUGUCGUCUCAGUGUCAGACCCCAUACCGGUGCCACAUUAGCACUGUAUUGGUAUGGUAUGGUAGUAUGGUACGAAGUUGGUACGCCUUCCGUACCAUAUACCGAUACCAAAUGGGUACUGUACGGUAUGUCCCAUACUGUCCGGUUCGAGCCAGUACGGCGAUAAAUUCCGAUCACUUUCUUCCAAGAUUAUUAUUUUUUUUUAAUAUAUUUUGAUGCUGUAUUUGACAUGUAUCAUUUGUUGUAUGUGCACCUUGCAGCUAUUUUAAUUUUUUUCCCCUUCAUUAGUUAGCGGAUGCCACAGAUAUGAAUGAAUAUGAAAUGAGAAUUGUAUGGUUGACGUGGGCAACAUUCGUGAUGCAACAUGGACAAAUGAUGAUGAAAAAAAAUAUAUUGUACUCAUGGAAGAAGAGGUCAUCAAGGGGAAUAGGCCCAAAAGAAGCCUGCAUGGCAUCAUAUCUGAGAAGCACUUAAUGCACAAACCUGGAAGAACUGUGAUAACACACAAUUAAGAAAUAAGUUCAACUGAUUAAGGACUUGACAGAAGGAAUUUGCUAAUUUGAUAAAUGAGAAGGGACUUAGUUGGAACUCAAGUGACGAGGUCUGGCAACGCUUAUACGAGGGACAAGGUAACUGGCUCCCAUGAGCAUCCUUCAGGGAGUCCUCCAGAAACUGAUACUGAAGAAUAGGGUGCAGAGCUGAAUGUGGAGACUUCUUUUAAUGAGCAUCUUGAUGGCGACUUAAUUAAUGCUUUGUAUGCCUUCUCAUGCAAGCACUAAAUGCACUUAAAGGCUUAGAUGGAGCAGCUUAUGUUAAGGAAGUUGGGAAGUUCCAUGAUGAUCUUUAAGGCAUGUUGGAGUGGCAAGGGGAUUGCAAGUGUGACAAAAAUGAUACUGGAUCUAUGCCAAGAUUUUUUGGUACGUAAGGAAAAAUGAUACUGGAUAUAAUCUCCAACUUGUACGUUAUGCAUAGGUAGCAAAAGGGGGCGGUGAUGUGAUGAUACUGGAUAACAAAUUAUACCACUAUAAAUGUAGCCAAAUGGGGUCGUGGGGUUUACAUUAACAUCCAGAAUGCUGUAAAUUUCCACUUGACAGUUAAUGUGGUUGCUCUGAUGGUUCAUUUUAUUUCUGCAUGCAUCGCAGGAGUGCUCCUCUGACUGAUACCCACUUGCUUUGGGUCAACAUGAUUAUGGAUAUUCUCAGUGCUUUCGCAUUAGCAGCAGAGUCUCCAAUGAUGAACAAGAAAAGACCACCUGGUGGGGAGAGAACUUCAUCACCAGGGUCAUGUUGAGAAAUAUCAAUGGCCAGAGUAUAUUUCAAUUGAUUGUACUUGGACUUCUCAUGUUUGAUGGGAAACGGCUUUUGAAAGUUAGUGUUCCAGAUGCUGAUUCACUUCUCAAUACAUUCAUGUUCUACACAUUUGUGUUUUGCCAGGGCUGCCAGGACAUCAAUUGUCAACCUUUGCCAAAACCAAACCAGCUUCAAGUCAAGAUUUCGUUAGUUGUCAGUCCAAGAAUAACUGAAAGUUUUAGCAAUCAGAUUUUGUGCAGUGAUAGCACACCUUGAACCUCUGGUUGGAAUAUGAACUUAUUUUAUUUGUGGAUUUAUGGCACAUCACAGCAUAUCCUUGUUCAGGAUCUGGAAUUUAUUAUAUAAAGUUCAAUUUUGGGAUGGUCGUCUGAUACA
This is a non-coding RNA of Phoenix dactylifera (date palm), 2750 nucleotides long. Lineage: Eukaryota; Viridiplantae; Streptophyta; Magnoliopsida; Arecales; Arecaceae. The record is from RefSeq and is a predicted model, not a curated record.